Molecule: long non-coding RNA, 218 nt
Organism: Saccostrea echinata
Lineage: Eukaryota; Metazoa; Mollusca; Bivalvia; Ostreida; Ostreidae
Exons: 3
Source: RefSeq, a predicted model, not a curated record
UUGAACCGUCAGCGGCGGACUAUAACAGAUCAUAAUCGCAGUUGUUUGGUGCAAGACCAUAGAAUGGUACCCAAUUUUGCUUGCCCUCAUUAGUCAUCACAAUAUAAAGGAUUUUACAUUUAGAAGACAAUCCUGCAAAUUUGCAGCUGUACAAAUUUUCUUCAUCUCAUCUGCUGCUGGAAUAAAUAAUGAAAGAUUUUCAAACCAGUGUCCAAGAG